Molecule: small RNA, 991 nt
Filed under: Pongo abelii (Sumatran orangutan)
Lineage: Eukaryota; Metazoa; Chordata; Mammalia; Primates; Hominidae
Description: retained intron
Source: RNAcentral
AGUCGGUGCCAUCUUCUACGCCCCUGGGAGCGUUGUGGCCGCUGUUUCCUUCGGCUUUCCUCCUCCUCCACCAUGUGGAGCCGACGUCAGGGCCGCCUCAGGCCCACGGUCUGCGGGGUGGAGGAGCUACGGCGCCGCCGGCGGGAGCGGGAGGCAGCACUGCGGAAGGCGCGGAGGGAGCAGCAGCUGGUCAGCAAGAGGCUGCUGAGAGACGACACCCCAGAGGAAGCUGGAGAGGGAUGUGUGGCUGCGAUCCUCGGGGAAACCGAGGUGCAGCAGUUCCUGCGGCAAGCCCAGCGGGGGACAGAGGAAAAGGAGAGAGAGGGGGCUCUGGUCAGCCUUCGUCGAGGCUUGCAACACCCUGAAACACAGCAAACCUUCAUCCGGUCAGUGUGGAUGGUGUGGGGGAGGGAGGAGUUGGGGCUCUGAGGGAUGGACCACAAGCUAAGCAGGGCUCUGGUACUCACUCACAUAGGCUGGAGGGCAGCAUGCGGACCCUGGUCGGGCUCCUGACCAGCAACCAGGCCCUGCUGCAGCUUGAGGCGGCUCGGUGCCUGCAUGAGCUCUCUCACUCCGAGCAGUCCACCGUUGCUGAGGCCUGCCUGCCAGCCACUUCCUACCUCCUCACCUACCUCUCCGGUCACAGCUCAGACUUCAUAGUAAGCCCUGUCCCUUCCUAUCUUGUUCUUGGUUUAGAUUUUAAAAUUGUGCUUUUGGGACCAGUUUGAGCUGGCAGGUAGGAGGAAGAAAACAUGUUUGCCCUUAUGCCUACAGCCAUGGCUACACCCAUCAUCUCCCCACCCUCUUGUGAGCCUCAAGGAUAGCUGCUCCAGCGUCCCCAUCACCUCCCCUCCCCAUCUCCCCACACCCAGCCUGGCAUCAAACAGGCCAAGCCCAGUGCUUUUGUUGCCUGUUCUCAGGAGCUGUGUCUGUAUACACUGGGUAACCUGAUCGUGGAGAGUGAGGCUGUGAGAAGGCAGCUCCUGCCACA